UACGAAGGACCCGAGCGUUAUCCGGAUUUAUUGGGUUUAAAGGGUGCGUAGGCGGACACGCAAGUCAGUGGUGAAAUCCCUCAGCUUAACUGAGGAACUGCCAUUGAAACUAUGUGUCUUGAGUACAUUUGAGGCGGGCGGAAUGUGUCAUGUAGAGGUGAAAUUCUUAGAUAUGACACAGAACACCAAUUGCGAAGGCAGCUCGCUAAACUGUAACUGACGCUGAGGCACGAAAGCGUGGGGAUCAAACAGG
This 253-nucleotide ribosomal RNA is filed under the name uncultured bacterium. RNAcentral's name for it is "partial 16S ribosomal RNA". It matches the Rfam family "Bacterial small subunit ribosomal RNA", at positions 524 to 776 of the family's 1533-position model. The record is from RNAcentral.